UUCAGAUUUCUGGACCGUGUGCC
Molecule: non-coding RNA, 23 nt
Filed under: Rattus norvegicus (Norway rat)
Lineage: Eukaryota; Metazoa; Chordata; Mammalia; Rodentia; Muridae
Source: RNAcentral